GGGUCAGUAGGCUGGUCGUGCCACCGGUACGUACUGGUCUCACCGAUUCCUCCUUCCUGAAGAACCGUAAUGCCAUUAAUUUGGUGUUGCGGGGAAACAGGACUGUUACUUUGAAAAAAUUAGAGUGUAUAAAGCAAGCUAGCGCUUGAAUACAUUAGCAUGGAAUAAUGAAAUAGGACGAUCGAUCCUAUUUUGUUGGUUUCUAGGAUUGACGUA
Molecule: ribosomal RNA, 216 nt
Filed under: Glomeromycotina sp.
Lineage: Eukaryota; Fungi; Glomeromycota
Description: partial small subunit ribosomal RNA
Rfam family: Eukaryotic small subunit ribosomal RNA (bases 46-216)
Source: RNAcentral